RNAcentral lists this ribosomal RNA (500 nucleotides) under uncultured organism. RNAcentral describes it as "SSU rRNA". It matches the Rfam family "Bacterial small subunit ribosomal RNA", at positions 15 to 509 of the family's 1533-position model. The record is from RNAcentral.
AUCCCUGGCUCAGGAUGAACGCUAGCUACAGGCUUAACACAUGCAAGUCGAGGGGCAUCGCGGGGUCUGCUUGCAGACCCUGGCGGCGACCGGCGGAUGGGUGAGUAACGCGUAUCCAACCUGCCCUGUCCCGGGGACAGCCCUUAGAAUGAGGAUUAACCCCCGAUGGCGCGGAUCAGCCGCAUGACUUAUCCGCCAAAUGUGAAGGACAGGGAUGGGGAUGCGUUCCAUUAGGUUGCAGGCGGGUAACGGCCCACCUGGCCGACGAUGGAUAGGGGUUCUGAGAGGAAGGUCCCCCACACUGGCACUGAGACACGGGCCAGACUCCUACGGGAGGCAGCAGUGAGGAAUAUUGGUCAAUGGCCGAGAGGCUGAACCAGCCAAGUAGCGUGCAGGACGACGGCCCUACGGGUUGUAAACUGCUUUUGCGGGAGGAUAAAGUGCGCCACGCGUGGCGCUUUGCAGGUAUCCCGUGAAUAAGGACCGGCUAAUUCCGUGCC